GCCACCUUUCUGAGAUCUCGAUAGCCUUACCUAUGUCCGAAAAGGUUUGUAUGUAGCAGAAGUAAAAGGCUGUUUGGGGGGAUUAGAAACCUUUGCAUAAUGGUCCAUGCUCAAUUCCAAACGUGGUCAGCAGCAGUCGGUGUCGUUUACUUUUCUAUAAUUGAAACCUAGUCAGACACUUGGCUUUUCUCUAGUUCAGCCAGGCUGCUGAUUAUUUUCUCCUUUCAGUAGAGACUGCCAAACAACUUAAUUCAAGAAGGCUUCCUUUGAGCUGGGAGCGGCUAUCUUUCCUAAGUGUAUCCCACGUCUUGAAAUUUUGCAGACAAUGCAUCUGCCUACACGUACGCCUGCCCUUCGUUCUCAACUAAAGACUGAGCCGUCUUCAGUUUCUGCGUCCUCCUGGCUUGGUUAAAGCCCUGUGAACCUACGGGGUAAGCAAGGGAAGGAAGCUAUGCUGUGAGGAACCUUUUGUAUGGAGCAGCGUCCGUAGCUGGUACCUGGGGGAGAAUGAGUACUCCAAAUGGAUUUCCGCAGCACUCGGGGGCGUGUGUUUCUCAGAGCACGGAGGGUGGAGCAGUACAGGACCUGCAUGCUAAAAAAGCUGGCAAAAUAGCAAAGAAGGAGGCUGGUGGCAAUGGGGUGCUUACCUUUGAAGAUCAUCCGAGCGCAGGCACCUCUUUGAAUGAAACCUUAAAGCUUCUACCAGAUGAACUCAAAGCUAAUAUGAAAAUUAAAUCGAUCACUCCAAGGCCUCCUCGGAAACCCCGGCUGGAGCGUGCUGCAUCUCUGGAUGAGAAAAGCUGGAGGAGGUGGAGGCGGUUUAGAACGAGUCAGGAAAGUCUGACUGAUCCCAAUGAGACAAGUUCCUCAAAUGGUUCUCUGCAGGAAGCGUCCCUCAGCCCUCCCGUCAGGGGCAGGGCGAGCCCCUGCCAUCAGUGCGUCCAACAGAAUUCCUUGCACAGUUCACCAGACGCCUCAGAAGCCAGUCCCCUGGGGAAGAGCAGAGGAGGCACCUCCGACCUGGGGAAACGAGCCUCUGAGAUCUCCAGUGCCUUUGGUGGGCUUUUGCGGGGCAAAGCGUUUGCAGGUGGCAAACCCCGGCUGUCCCAAAUAAUGCCAGCUCGACCUCUGCCACCCAUGGAGCUCAAUGUGGCCUCUCACACACUGAGGACAGCUAAUAGGAUUGACUCAGAUUAUAUGGAUUAUCGACAUUAUUCUCAGCACAAGUUUGGGAAGGUAAGCAGCAGCUUGAGCGAUACCAGGCUACAUGGCAAUGGGAUGGUCUAUGAUAAUUGCUCCACAGACUCCAUGAAAUCUACGUUCAGCCUGCUCACUCCCAUUCGCUCCAAGGAUGUUCGAAGCAGAAGCUAUUUGGAAGGCAGCCUUCUGGCGAAUGGUGCCUUACUGGGAGCAGAAGAACUUAGCAAAUAUUUCCCUGAUCGGAAUAUUGGAAUUUUUGUGGCCACCUGGAACAUGCAGGGUCAGAAGGAACUUCCAGUGAAUCUGGAUGACUUCUUAUUACCAACAGAUCCUGACUAUGCCCAGGACAUGUAUGUCGUUGGGGUUCAAGAAGGCUGUCCAGACAGACGAGAGUGGGAGAUCCGCCUGCAAGAGACGCUAGGUCCCCACUACGUCAUGCUCUACUCCGCCGCCCAUGGGGUGCUGUACAUGUCGGUCUUCAUUCGGAGGGACCUGAUCUGGUUCUGCUCAGAAGUGGAGUAUGCCACAGUGACAACUCGAAUCGUCUCUCAGAUCAAAACCAAGGGAGCUCUGGGAAUCUGCUUCACAUUUUUUGGGACCUCCUUUCUCUUCAUCACCUCCCACUUCACAUCUGGGGACAGUAAGGUGAAUGAGAGGAAACUGGACUACAAUAAAACCAUUCAAGCCCUUACCCUUCCCAAGAACGUUCCGGACACAAACCCGUAUCGAUCCAGUUCUAGUGACGUCACAACUCGGUUUGAUGAAGUGUUCUGGUUUGGUGACUUCAACUUCCGACUAAAUAAGGAUCGUGAGACUGUGGAUUCCAUCUUGAACCAGAACACGGGAACAGAUGUGUCCAAGCUACUGGCAUAUGACCAGCUUACAAGUGAAAUGAGCAGGGGGUCUAUUUUCAAAGGAUUCCAAGAGGCUGACAUUCAUUUCCGUCCUUCCUACAAGUUUGACAUAGGAAAGGACAGCUAUGACACCACUUCCAAACAAAGGACUCCUUCCUACACGGAUCGAGUUGUAUACCGCAGUCGGUACAGAGAUGACAUCCACGCUGUCAAGUACUCAUCUUGUCCUGUGAUCAAAACUUCAGACCAUCGGCCUGUAUUUGCCUUGUUUCGUGUGAAAGUGAGGCCUGGCAGAGACAACAUUCCACUUGCUGCAGGGCAGUUUGACAGAGAACUCUAUUUACUUGGAAUAAAGAGACGGAUUACAAGGGAACUUCAGAAACGGCAAGAGCAAAAGGACCAAAAAUCCAGCAGCGUAUGUAGCGUUUCCUGAGGUGAGAACUCUGCGAUGCUUCUGUUAGAGGUGCCCGGAAAGAGGAUUUCAGGCCAGGGCAAACUCUGCAGGGAAUUGUCUGCUUAACCACCUCCGGCAGUCGCUGUGGCUUGUGAAGAAUGUCUUAAACCUCAUCCUGGAUUCAUUUGCAUGAGCUAAUCCAUGUAGCUCAAGUGCUUUUGCUGAAGAAAAUGGAGUCUGUUGCUUAGGACAUCCAUCCCAACAGAUGUAAUGAUUUUUUUUUUUAACCGUACUAUCUUUGGAAGCAAAUGGAUGCAGUCUCCUGGUUCUAAGAUGACUCCACACAGGGGGCACAGCUUCUGGAGUUGGCAUGACCAGGGGCAGGGGACCUAAAAAAGCCUGCAGAAAGGGGUGAUGAAACACUACCUCGCUUCAGCAGCAGGACACGUGAGUUGAAAAUAAUGGCCUGAGUACAGCUACUGUGUAAUGCUUCACCAAAGCGAUUAACGCGCCAAGUGAGCACCAGGGAGGUAUGCGGAGAAACUGCAGCAAGGCAGAUGAGCGCAGUUCCAUUACCUCCGAUUACAGUUAAUUCCUUUUGGUUUUAUUUUUCCAAUUCAGUGAACUGUGAAUAACUUGCUGUUUUUGAAGUAGUGUUGUCUUAAGGCUAAGCAUACUACAUGGACCAGUAUGGCACUGGUAAAACGUUAAGUACAGCUAAUAACUUAAAAACUCUUCAUGGGCACAGAUCGGCUGGAUCAUUAAUCACCUUAGUACAUAAAACACCGUGCAAACAACUUGGAGGAAGUGCUGCUAACUAUGCAACCUGUCCAAGACAGAGCUUCUGUUCUGCGGUACAAACUUUUAUGGCACUGACCUGUCUGUAGCCAUCAGGUAUUUGGAUUUCCU
Molecule: RNA transcript, 3357 nt
Organism: Egretta garzetta (little egret)
Lineage: Eukaryota; Metazoa; Chordata; Aves; Pelecaniformes; Ardeidae
Gene: INPP5E
Gene name: inositol polyphosphate-5-phosphatase E
Exons: 12
Source: RefSeq, a predicted model, not a curated record